UACGUAGGCACCAAGCGUUGUCCGGAUUUAUUGGGCGUAAAGAGCUCGUAGGCGGUUCGGUAAGUCGGGUGCGAAAACUCUGGGCUCAACCCAGAGAGGCCACCCGAUACUGCCGUGACUGGAGUGCGGUAGGGGAGUGGGGAAUUCCUGGUGUAGCGGUGAAAUGCGCAGAUAUCAGGAGGAACACCAGUGGCGAAGGCGCCACUCUGGGCCGUAACUGACGCUGAGGAGCGAAAGCGUGGGUAGCAAACAGG
This 254-nucleotide ribosomal RNA is filed under the name uncultured bacterium. RNAcentral's name for it is "partial 16S ribosomal RNA". It matches the Rfam family "Bacterial small subunit ribosomal RNA", at positions 524 to 776 of the family's 1533-position model. The record is from RNAcentral.